RNAcentral lists this ribosomal RNA (407 nucleotides) under uncultured bacterium. Its description in RNAcentral is "partial 16S ribosomal RNA". It matches the Rfam family "Bacterial small subunit ribosomal RNA", at positions 30 to 526 of the family's 1533-position model. The record is from RNAcentral.
AUUGAACGCUGGCGGCAGGCCUAACACAUGCAAGUCGAGCGGAGCGGCGGACGGGUGAGUAAUGCCUAGGAAUCUGCCUGGUAGUGGGGGAUAACGUCCGGACACGGGCGCUAAUACCGCAUACUAUCAGAUGAGCCUAGGUCGGAUUAGCUAGUUGGUGGGGUAACGGCCUACCCAGGCGACGAUCCCUAGAUGGUCUGAGAGGAUGACCAGCAACACUGGAACGGAGACACGGUCCAGACGCCUACGUGAGGCAGCAGUGGGGAAUAUUGCACAAUGGGCGCAAGCCUGAUGCAGCCAUGCCGCGUGUAUGAAGAAGGCCUUCGGGUUGUAAAGUACUUUCAGCGGGUAGGCGUUACCCGCAGAAGAAGCACCGGCUAACUCCGUGCCAGCCGCCGCGGUAAUUC